AGUCGACGCUUCUUUUUCCACCGGAGCUUGCUCCACCGGAAAAAGANGAGUGGCGAACGGGUGAGUAACACGUGGGUAACCUGCCCAUCAGAAGGGGAUAACACUUGGAAACAGGUGCUAAUACCGUAUAACAAUCAAAACCGCAUGGUUUUGAUUUGAAAGGCGCUUUCGGGUGUCGCUGAUGGAUGGACCCGCGGUGCAUUAGCUAGUUGGUGAGGUAACGGCUCACCAAGGCCACGAUGCAUAGCCGACCUGAGAGGGUGAUCGGCCACAUUGGGACUGAGACACGGCCCAAACUCCUACGGGAGGCAGCAGUAGGGAAUCUUCGGCAAUGGACGAAAGUCUGACCGAGCAACGCCGCGUGAGUGAAGAAGGUUUUCGGAUCGUAAAACUCUGUUGUUAGAGAAGAACAAGGAUGAGAGUAACUGUUCAUCCCUUGACGGUAUCUAACCAGAAAGCCACGGCUAACUACGUGCCAGCAGCCGCGGUAAUACGUAGGUGGCAAGCGUUGUCCGGAUUUAUUGGGCGUAAAGCGAGCGCAGGCGGUUUCUUAAGUCUGAUGUGAAAGCCCCCGGCUCAACCGGGGAGGGUCAUUGGAAACUGGGAGACUUGAGUGCAGAAGAGGAGAGUGGAAUUCCAUGUGUAGCGGUGAAAUGCGUAGAUAUAUGGAGGAACACCAGUGGCGAAGGCGGCUCUCUGGUCUGUAACUGACGCUGANGCUCGAAAGCGUGGGGAGCAAACAGGAUUAGAUACCCUGGUAGUCCACGCCGUAAACGAUGAGUGCUAAGUGUUGGAGGGUUUCCGCCCUUCAGUGCUGCAGCUAACGCAUUAAGC
This 834-nucleotide ribosomal RNA is filed under the name Enterococcus sp. V2-36. RNAcentral describes it as "bacterial SSU rRNA". It matches the Rfam family "Bacterial small subunit ribosomal RNA", at positions 60 to 865 of the family's 1533-position model. Lineage: Bacteria; Bacillati; Bacillota; Bacilli; Lactobacillales; Enterococcaceae. The record is from RNAcentral.